Molecule: small RNA, 753 nt
Filed under: Pongo abelii (Sumatran orangutan)
Lineage: Eukaryota; Metazoa; Chordata; Mammalia; Primates; Hominidae
Description: retained intron
Source: RNAcentral
GGGGCUGGGGCCGAGGCUGAGGCGGCGGCGGCGGCCGGGUGCCCGGGACAGCGACGCAGCGCGCCGGCGGCCGCGACAGGGCCGGCGAGAGCCCCGCAGCCCGCCGCAGCCGCCGCCUCGCCGCGGCCGGGCCGGAGAGCACGGCGGCGGGAGUGCGGCCUUAGAAGGCGGCCGGAGCGGCGGGCACAGCUCGGCGCAGAGCGUCCUGUCAGGCGGCGGCCGAGGGCGCCGCGGACUCUCCCCGCGAUGAUGCCGAUGAUAUUAACCGUUUUCUUGAGCAACAAUGAACAGAUUUUAACAGAAGUUCCUAUAACACCAGAAACAACCUGUCGAGAUGUUGUAGAAUUUUGCAAGGAACCUGGAGAAGGCAGCUGCCAUUUAGCUGAAGUGUGGAGGGGAAAUGAACGUCCCAUACCCUUUGAUCAUAUGAUGUACGAACAUCUUCAGAAAUGGGGUCCACGGAGGGAAGAAGUGAAAUUUUUCCUUCGACACGAGGACUCCCCAACUGAGAACAGUGAACAAGGUGGCCGUCAGACCCAAGAGCAACGAACUCAGAGAAAUGUAAUAAAUGUACCUGGAGAAAAACGUACUGAAAAUGGGGUAAGUGAUAGUGAAUUAAAUUGAAUUUUAAAAAUUGAUGGCUAGGUGCAGUGGGUUACACCUGUAAUCUCAGCACUUUGGGAGGCCAAGGUGAGAGGAUCACAUGAGGCCAGGAGUUUGAGAUCAGCCAGAGCAAGAUGGUGAGACCCUCUC